CCUACGGGUGGCAGCAGUGGGGGAUAUUGCACAAUGGGGGGAACCCUGAUGCAGCGACGCCGCGUGGGUGAAGAAGCGCCUCGGCGCGUAAAGCCCUGUCAGCAGGGAAGUAAAUGACGGUACCUGAAGCAGAAGCCCCGGCUAACUACGUGCCAGCAGCCGCGGGAAUACGUAGGGGGCAAGCGUUAUCCGGAUUUACUGGGUGUAAAGGGGUCGCAGACGGCGUUGCAAGCCAGGAGUGAAAGCCCGGGGCCCAACCCCGGGACUGCUCUUGGAACUGGGUGUCUGGAGUGCAGGAGGGGCAGGCGGAAUUCCUGGUGUAGCGGUGAAAUGCGUAGAUAUCAGGAGGAACACCGGUGGCGAAGGCGGCCUGCUGGACUGCAACUGACGUUGAGGCCCGAAAGCGUGGGGAGCAAACAGGAUUAGAUACCCUUGUAGUC
RNAcentral lists this ribosomal RNA (440 nucleotides) under uncultured bacterium. Its description in RNAcentral is "partial 16S ribosomal RNA". It matches the Rfam family "Bacterial small subunit ribosomal RNA", at positions 338 to 795 of the family's 1533-position model. The record is from RNAcentral.